AUGCUUAAGGGGAACACAAUUGAUGCGUUUUUCAAAAGAAAGAGAGGUGAUUCAACUGAAUGUGAAGUUGAUGAACCAAUAGCAACAGAAGCAAUUCCUGUUCCACCUCCUCUGUUGUUGCUCGAAUUUGAGCAACAUGGACCACAUCCUUCGAUGCCUCAACAACAAGGCCAUCAAACUCAAACAAAUGAAGUACAAUUUCGAGGGAUUGAAUUCUUGCAGCGGGAUCGAGCACUACGUCCACAGAUUUGUCAAUAUCCACCUAAUCAAAGAGAUGAUGUGCGGCGAGCAUAUUUGAAGCUUGGUAUUAUGCAGCCCCGCUUGAAGAAUUACAAAGCUUACGGUCCAGAAGGUCGCAAACGGCGCUGUAAAUAUGACUGGUUCAAGGAUUUCCCAUCAUGGUUGGAGUACUCGGAGGACAGUCAUCGUGCAUAUUGCUUCUAUUGUUUCUUGUUCAGCAACAAUAAAAACAAGCGAGGUGGUUCAGAUGUCUUUACUGUGCGAGGAUUUGUAAAUUGGAAGAAGGUCCAUGAUGGAAAGAAAUGUGCAUUCUCUACUUUGAAGAUCAUCAAGACAAGGCUACGUAAUACUAUGGAAGAUGAUUAUGUAGCCAAUAGCUUGCUAGUAAACAUAGAGAGUGAAAUUGUGGAGAAGUACAGCUAUGAAGAUGUUCUUGUGCACUUUAAGGGUGUAAAGAAACGAAGGGCUGAUCUGUAG
RNAcentral lists this ribosomal RNA (717 nucleotides) under Triticum aestivum (bread wheat). RNAcentral's name for it is "partial small subunit ribosomal RNA". The record is from RNAcentral. Lineage: Eukaryota; Viridiplantae; Streptophyta; Magnoliopsida; Poales; Poaceae.